AUGAAUUGUUUAAGUUGGAACUGCCGGGGGCUUGGGAACCCCGAGGCAGUUCGAGAGCUUCGCAGUAUUGUGAAGCAAGAAGUUCCUGCCCUGCUGUUCGUUAUGGAGACCAAAAUCAGGGCAAAAAGAGUUGAAGAUCUGCGUUAUCAGUUAGGUUUCGCGGGAUGUUUUGCAGUGGACAGUGAAGGACUAAGCGGUGGCAUAGGCCUCUUC
This 213-nucleotide ribosomal RNA is filed under the name Triticum aestivum (bread wheat). Its description in RNAcentral is "partial small subunit ribosomal RNA". The record is from RNAcentral. Lineage: Eukaryota; Viridiplantae; Streptophyta; Magnoliopsida; Poales; Poaceae.